This is an RNA transcript of Beta vulgaris subsp. vulgaris (sugar beet), 2079 nucleotides long. It is a transcript of the gene named heterogeneous nuclear ribonucleoprotein 1, with no coding region annotated. The transcript has 3 exons. NCBI's taxonomy places the organism in Eukaryota, Viridiplantae, Streptophyta, Magnoliopsida, Caryophyllales, Amaranthaceae. The record is from RefSeq and is a predicted model, not a curated record.
CUCAUCAAUCCCACGUUCUCCAAACCUCACAAAAUUCCCUUUCUUUUCACCCGAGUACUUCCUCUAGCAAACCCUCCGCCCCAAACCCUUAUCCCCCUCAAACCCCACUUUUUCUCUCCAAAUUCUUCAAAAAAAAAAAAAAAACUCCAUUCAUUUUUCCAGAAAACCUAUUGAUAAACUCGAAGAACAGAUAGAGAGAGAGAAAAAGACAGUAUCUUUAAUCUAAAAUAGAUGGAUUCAGAUCAAGGAAAACUGUUUGUGGGUGGGAUUUCAUGGGAAACAACUGAAGAAACACUGAAAGAUUAUUUUGGACAAUUUGGUGAUGUUUAUCAGGCUAAUAUCAUGAGAGAUAAAGCUACUGGUAGACCUAGAGGUUUUGGGUUUGUUCUCUUCUCAGAUCCUUCUGUUAUUGAUCGAGUUGUUCAGGAUAAACACACCAUUGAUGGUAGACCUGUUGAGGCUAAGCGAGCGAUGUCAAGAGAAGAACAACAGAACUCUGGUAGAGGUGGAAACAGCAAUGGUGGUAGAAAUGGAGGUGGAGGUGGAAACAUCAGAACUAAGAAGAUAUUUGUUGGGGGUUUGCCGCCUACUUUGACUGAUGAAGGCUUUCGGCAGUAUUUUGAGAAUUAUGGCCCUGUAACUGAUGUAGUUAUAAUGUAUGAUCUGAAUACACGGAGACCCCGAGGUUUUGGAUUCAUUUCUUUUGAGAGUGAGGAGUCAGUAGAUAGAGUUGUACAGAAUACCUUUCAUGACUUAGAUGGUAAACAAGUUGAGGUGAAGCGUGCUCUACCCAAGGAUGCCAACCCUGGUAUGGGUAGUCGUGGCGGUGGUUAUAAUUCUGGUGGUGGUCAAAAUGCUUAUGAUGGUAGAAUGGAUUCUAAUAGAUUUAUGCAAUCACAGAGUGCCGGAGGCGCAUUUCCACCUUAUGGUUCUUCUGGAUAUGGUGCGGCUGGAUACGGAUAUGGGCCUGCCAACACUGGCAUGGGCUAUGGUGGGUAUGGUGGAUAUGGGGGUGCAAAUCCUGGGUACGGUGGUCCUGCAAGUGCUGCUUAUGGGAACCCCAAUGUUGCCAAUGCUGCAAGGAGUUCAUGGAAUGCACAGGCAGCUUCUGCUUAUGGUGCCGCAGCUGGCUAUGGGAGUGCAGGCUCUUGGGGUGCUGCCGCUGCAGGAAGUGGUGGACCAACUGGUCAAUCUCCAAGUGGAGCCUCUGGAUACGGAAAUCAAGGUUAUGGAUAUGGUAACUAUGGAGGUGGUGAUGGGUAUGGUAAUCGUGCUGGAGGAGCCCCGGGUAGCAAUGCCUCAGCUGGUGGUGGAGAAAUGCAAGGGGGUUAUGGUAGCGGAUAUGCUGAUACCAACGGUCAGGGAGGCUAUGGGGCUCAGGCAGGUGGACCUCAUGCUGCACAGAUGGGCUAUGCCGGUGGAUAUGGUGGGGGCCAAAAUCGACAAGCACAGUAGCUGUAGUGUGCUUUAAGCUGAGUGAUCAUGGAUUAUAAAGUUUGUCAUUCCAAGUGGCUAGGGGAUAGCCUAUAUUUCCCUCAAGCAUAUUGUUGGACUGGUUGGCUUGCUAAUUCACAGAGAGGUGCUCGAGCUCUGAAGUGAGGGGGCUAAGACAGCUAAAAUGCAGGUUUGUGGUGGAAUGUUAAACAUGCGAUUGAUCGGUUUUGUGAUGAGAGAAUGCAAUUUCUGGGACUGAUCAACCCAAGCAUGUCCUCUUCGGUUCUGAUCUUCUAUGAAGUUGUGGUGGGCUGGUGGAAAUUUCUAAGUUGAUCUCCAUUCGGUAUGUCAGAGAUAAAUUGAGGAUUUUUUCUUGGUUAACUUUAGGAAAUUUGACUAUCGAAGUUCAGUUUUAUAUGGACUAGAAAGUGGAAUGCUUUUGAUGGUCUAAUUAGUUGUGGCUGCUUGUGGCAGUUGGAAGUAGGCUUUAACUUUUUCUUGCUGAACUAGUGCAUAACUAGUCCGAUACUUACGUUAGAGUUUACUAUUUCUUAGUCUCUUGCGGAUGAUUACUGAGUUAGUACAUUAUAUUUCACUGGAUUAUUACACAUACAUUUAUCACAAUUUCACCGUCUUUAUUUCAAA